GCCUAUUAAAUUCGUUUGCCUCAAUGUUGAGGUCUGGGAAGAAAUUGGAGAGGCGGGGGUCAAAAAGGAAGACGUGGCAACCGACGACGAGACAGGGUCUUCUUCGACUCUAAGUGCUAGCUCAACUCGCGCUUUGUCGGCACUCAGAAGGCUGCCGGCUCGCGUUAACAUGGAUAAUAGGAAUGCGGAUGCUGGAGAAUCCGAGAUGACAAAGUGUGAAGCUGGAUGAACAUGCCAGGCCAAGCAGCAUCUCAAGAGCACAAAAUCUGACGUUUCGGGAAGGGUCUAGGCCCGAAACGACACCUUUUGUGCUCCUAAAAUGCGGCUUGGCCUGCCGUGUUCAUCCAGCUUCACACUUUAUCUCGCGUUAACAUGGAAACCGGCCACCAUUUUGAAGGCCCACGGAACUUGGCCUUAGAUACUUGACACUCCCUUACCUGAGAUCAUCCUCCACCAGUUCUCCCUCUCUGAUGAAUACUGAUUUCUGGUUGAGUAGCAGCGCGAGCGGGAGCUUGGAGCAGGGGCCUGUCAGGAAGCCGAAGGUGGUGCAUGAAAGGAAGGAACUGCCAGUGGAAGUGGCAGAGGGCGGGUACAAAUUACAACAUUUGGAAGGCAUCUAGGUGAGUACAUGAAUAGGAAGGGCCAAGUGGGCCAAAUGCUGACUUACUCGGAUAGGACUGAUUUAAGUACAGUCAACGUAGCUUUGCGCCUAGGAAAUCAUGUAUCAUUAACUUGAUUGAGUUUUUUUUGAAGAAGUAAUGAAGAGGAUUGAUGAAGGCAGAGCAGUGGACGUGAUCUAUGUGGAUUUUCGUAAGGCAUUCAACAAGGUUCCUCGUGGAAGACGGGUUAGCAAGGUUAGAUCACACAGAAUAGAAGGAGAACUAGCCAUUUGGAUACAGAACUGGCUCAAAGGUAGAAGACAAUAGAGUGGAGAAUUGCUUUUCAGACUGGAGGCCUCUGACCAGCGGUGUGCCACAAGGAUUGGUGCAGGGUCCAGCGCUUUUCAUCAUAUGUAUAAAUGAUUUGGAUGUGAAGACAAGAGGUGAAGUUUGUAAGUUUUCGGAUCGCACCAAAAGUAGAGGUGUAGUGGACAACGAAGGUUACCUCCGAGUUCAACGGGAUCUUGAUUAGAUGGGCCCAUUGGCCGACAAGUAACAGAUGGAGUUUAAUUUCGAUAAAUGUGAAGUGCCACAUUUUGGAAACGCAAAUUAGGGCAGGCCUUAUACACUUAAUGAUAAGGUCCUGGGGACUGUUGCUCAACAAAGAGACCUUCAUGGUUCCUUGAAAGUGGAAUCACAUUUAGGUGGGUUACUGGGAAGGCUUUUGGUAUGCUUGCCUUUAUUGGUCAGUGCAGUGGGUACAGGAUUUGGGAGGUCACAUUGCAGCUCACCUUACCUAUACCCCUCACGAUCUUAUAAACCUCUUCAAAGGUCACCCUCAACCUCCUACGACGAAUGGUCUCUCCCAAGUGUGACUGUGUCGAUGGAUUUCUAGUGCAGAUAGAGAAUCCUGUCUCACAGUGCCCACCUUUCCAAGGUUUCUGCAUGGUGCAGGCAUCUCUGUCCCUUUCGAGGUUGGGCAGGUAGUUGAACAUAUUCACAUAAGGAAUGAGUGAAUGCUUCCUCCCUAUUUUUACUGGUGUGAUAUCUUUUCAGGCUGUGUAACAGAAUAAAGCUCAUUCCACAGACAGUCCAUUGAAACACUCUCACUCAGGUCUCUGUGCAUGUCUCUGCUUUUCCAGUCCCAUUGUUAAAUCAUUGAAUCUCUACAAUGUGGAAGCAUGCCAUUUAGCCCAUUGAAUCACGCUGACCCUCCAAAGAGCAUCUGAUCCAGACAUAGCCCCCUAACUUAUCCCUGUAAGCCUGCAUUUCCAAUGACAAAUCUACCUAGCCUGGACUUUACAGGCUAUUUAACAUGUCCAAUCCACCUAGAAUCGUAGAAUCUCCAGUGUGGAAGCAGACCAUUUGGCCUGUCGGGUCCACCCUGACCCUGCAAAGAGCAUCCCACCCCCCACCCUCUCGUUGUAAUCCUGCAUUUCCCAUGGCUAACCCUGCACAUCCCUGGACACACUGGGCAAUUUAGCAUCCACCUAACCCUCACAUCUUUGGACUGUGGGAUGAAAGAGGAGCAGCUGAAGGAAAACCACUCAGAUACAGGGAGAACAUGCAAACUCCACACGGACAGUUGCCCAAGGUUGCAAUUGUACCCGUGCCAUGUUUAAAAUUUUCCCCCUUGACAAACAUUUCUCCUGUCACAUUCAAAGACUGAUGAAUAUCAGUUCCUGGUGAUUCUUGUGACUGUUCUCAAUGUGAUGUUUGCUUUGAGUUUCCCAUUUGUAAAAUUGUCCCCUCAAACAACCCGUAAAGCUUGUUUAUGAUAGUCAUUGCUGCAAGUACUGGAUAUAAAUAAGUACUGAUAGUUCUAAUUUCUUUGUAGGGUGUCCCAACCUUUCACCUUUGCAGAUACUGGCCCCCAGAUUCCCGCCAAUGAAGCAGAGAAAUAUAGAAAAUAGUUUAAGGAGUAGUCCAUUUAGCCCUUUGAACCUGCACCCCUAUUCAAUAUGAUCACAGCUGUUUGUGCAAUCUCAGUAUUCCAUUCCCAUCCUCUCCCCAUACACCUUGAUCCCUUUAACCACAAGGGCCAUGUCGAGCUCCCUCUCGAAUAUAUCCAAUGAACUGGCCCCAGUAGCUUCCUGUGGGAGAGAAUUCUACAGGUUCACAACUCUCUGAGUGAAGAAAUUCUUCCACAUCUCAGUCCUGAGCGGCUUACUCCUUAAUCUUAGGCUAUGACCCAUAGUUAUGGACUCGUCCAAUAUCAGGAACAUUCUUCCUGCAUCUAGAUUGUCCAGCCCCAUCAGGAUUUUAUACAUUUCUGUGAGAUACAACCCUGCCAAGUCUUCUGAAUUCCAGUGAAUAUAAGGCUAGUUCAUCCAGUCUUUCCUUGUACUGUUCUAUUCUACUGUGCUCUGAAAUCCCAAGCCUUCUUCACUGAGAUCCUUCCUUGCACCCUCCUCGAGUCCCUAUCUAGCUCUGAGCCCCCCUCUGGGUGUGUUUUCUUGCCUCUGUUUGGGGACCUGUUCAUUCCCUUCUGAGUGAGGACAUUGCCUGCCAGUUCUGAUGCACAUUUCGAAACCAUAAAAAUGGGUUGGUGUGCUCCCAUUCUCCAACAUCCAUAAGACCAUAAGACGUAGGAGUGGAAGUAAGGCCAUUCGGCCCAUCGAGUCCACUCCGCCAUUUAAAUCAUGGCUGAUGGGCAUUUCAACUCCACUUCCCUGCACUCUCCCCGUAGCCCUUGAUUCCUUGUAUAAGACCAUAAGACAUAGGAGUGGAAGUAAGGCCAUUCAGCCCAUCAUCUUUAGCUGUUUUAAGUACAUGUCAAAGUCAACAGACUACAAGUCUUCACUUUCAAAAAUCAAUAUUUGGUUUGAAUUUGAUUUGAUUUAUUACUGUCAUGUGUACUGAGGUGGAGUGAAAAGUGUUGUCUUAGUGUUUUCCUGGCAGACCAUACUGUAAAGUGCACCAGAGUAACAGAAACAGAAUGCAGGGUACAGUCUUAAUAGGAACUGCAGAUGCUGGAGAAUCCGAGAUAACAAAGUGUAGAGCUGGAUGAACACAGCACGCCAAGCAGCAUCCAGCAGGGCUGGAUUAAGGAUUAAGCCACAUUAGGUUAUAGCGAUGCCACCCGGAAACUGGAGGAGCUGCACCUCGUAUUCCGCUAUGAAAGCCUAUAACCCAGUGAGGAGGUUUCCGCUAAUGUGGUCUAUUGUAUCCACUGUUCACAAUGGGGCCACCUCUACAUUGGUAAGACCACCCCCUGGACGACAUGUCCAUCCUGGGCCUCCUCUCGUGUCACAGCGAUGCCACUUGGAAACUGGAGGAGCUGCACCUCGUAUUCCGCUAUGAAAGCCUAUAACCCAGUGGGGAACAGCAACUCAUAUUCCGCUUGGGAACCCUGCAGCGGCUGAACCCCGAUUAGGGAGUAAG
Molecule: long non-coding RNA, 3983 nt
Organism: Stegostoma tigrinum
Lineage: Eukaryota; Metazoa; Chordata; Chondrichthyes; Orectolobiformes; Stegostomatidae
Exons: 3
Source: RefSeq, a predicted model, not a curated record